Molecule: ribosomal RNA, 497 nt
Filed under: uncultured bacterium
Lineage: Bacteria
Description: partial 16S ribosomal RNA
Rfam family: Bacterial small subunit ribosomal RNA
Source: RNAcentral
GAUGAACGCUGGCGGCGUGCCUAAUACAUGCAAGUCGAGCGAACAGACGAGGAGCUUGCUCCUCUGACGUUAGCGGCGGACGGGUGAGUAACACGUGGAUAACCUACCUAUAAGACUGGGAUAACUUCGGGAAACCGGAGCUAAUACCGGAUAAUAUAUUGAACCGCAUGGUUCAAUAGUGAAAGACGGUUUUGCUGUCACUUAUAGAUGGAUCCGCGCCGCAUUAGCUAGUUGGUAAGGUAACGGCUUACCAAGGCAACGAUGCGUAGCCGACCUGAGAGGGGGAUCGGCCACACUGGAACGGAGACACGGUCCAGACGCCUACGGGAGGCAGCAGUAGGGAAUCUUCCGCAAUGGGCGAAAGCCUGACGGAGCAACGCCGCGUGAGUGAUGAAGGUCUUCGGAUCGUAAAACUCUGUUAUUAGGGAAGAACAAAUGUGUAAGUAACUAUGCACGUCUUGACGGUACCUAAUCAGAAAGCCACGGCUAACUACGUG